RNAcentral lists this ribosomal RNA (439 nucleotides) under uncultured bacterium. RNAcentral's name for it is "bacterial SSU rRNA". It matches the Rfam family "Bacterial small subunit ribosomal RNA", at positions 32 to 480 of the family's 1533-position model. The record is from RNAcentral.
AAUCAACGCUGGCGGCGUGCCUCAGACAUGCAAGUCGAACGAUUAAAGCUCUCUUCGGAGAGUGUAUAGAGUGGCGCACGGGUGAGUAACACGUAAGUAAUCUACCCUCGAGUGGGGAAUAACACCGGAAACGGUUGCUAAUACCGCAUAAUGCAGCGGCACCGCAAGGUGACAGUUGUUAAAGAUUUAUCGCUUGAGGAGGAGCUUGCGGCAGAUUAGCUAGUUGGUAGGGUAACGGCUUACCAAGGCUACGAUCUGUAACCGGUCUAAGAGGACGGUCGGUCACACUGACACUGAAUAACGGGUCAGACUCCUACGGGAGGCAGCAGUCGGGAAUUUUGGGCAAUGGGCGAAAGCCUGACCCAGCAACGCCGCGUGAAGGAUGAAGUAUUUCGGUAUGUAAACUUCGAAAGAAUAGGAAGAAUUAAUGACGGUACUA